RNAcentral lists this transfer RNA (72 nucleotides) under Ipomoea nil (Japanese morning glory). It matches the Rfam family "tRNA". From Rfam's summary of the family: Transfer RNA (tRNA) molecules are approximately 80 nucleotides in length. The record is from Rfam by way of RNAcentral. Lineage: Eukaryota; Viridiplantae; Streptophyta; Magnoliopsida; Solanales; Convolvulaceae.
UCCGUUGUCGUCCAAAGGUUAGGAUAUCUGGCUUUCACCCAGGAGACCCGGGUUCGAUUCUUGGCAACGAAA